This 422-nucleotide ribosomal RNA is filed under the name uncultured Pedobacter sp. Its description in RNAcentral is "bacterial SSU rRNA". It matches the Rfam family "Bacterial small subunit ribosomal RNA", at positions 355 to 774 of the family's 1533-position model. The record is from RNAcentral. Lineage: Bacteria; Pseudomonadati; Bacteroidota; Sphingobacteriia; Sphingobacteriales; Sphingobacteriaceae.
UGGGGAAUAUUGCACAAUGGGGGAAACCCUGAUGCAGCCAUGCCGCGUGCAGGAAGACGGCCCUCUGGGUUGUAAACUGCUUUUAUUCGGGAAUAAACCUACUUACGUGUAAGUAGCUGAAUGUACCGAAGGAAUAAGGAUCGGCUAACUCCGUGCCAGCAGCCGCGGUAAUACGGAGGAUCCAAGCGUUAUCCGGAUUUAUUGGGUUUAAAGGGUGCGUAGGCGGCCUAUUAAGUCAGGGGUGAAAGACGGUAGCUCAACUAUCGCAGUGCCCUUGAUACUGAUGGGCUUGAAUGAACUAGAGGUAGGCGGAAUGUGACAAGUAGCGGUGAAAUGCAUAGAUAUGUCACAGAACACCGAUUGCGAAGGCAGCUUACUAUGGUUUUAUUGACGCUGAGGCACGAAAGCGUGGGGAUCAAACA